GUCAAGAUGGCCGAGUUGGUUUAAGGCGCCAGUUUCAGGUAUUGGUCCGAAAGGGCAUGGGUUCGAAUCCCAUUCUUGACA
This 81-nucleotide transfer RNA is filed under the name Ipomoea nil (Japanese morning glory). It matches the Rfam family "tRNA". From Rfam's summary of the family: Transfer RNA (tRNA) molecules are approximately 80 nucleotides in length. Their secondary structure includes four short double-helical elements and three loops (D, anti-codon, and T loops). The record is from Rfam by way of RNAcentral. Lineage: Eukaryota; Viridiplantae; Streptophyta; Magnoliopsida; Solanales; Convolvulaceae.